Herpailurus yagouaroundi (jaguarundi) is the source of this 1219-nucleotide long non-coding RNA. RefSeq lists it as uncharacterized. The transcript is spliced from 2 exons. Lineage: Eukaryota; Metazoa; Chordata; Mammalia; Carnivora; Felidae. The record is from RefSeq and is a predicted model, not a curated record.
UCUCCCCACCUGCAAAAUGGGAGCAAAGCUCCCCAGGGUGACAGCACCAAACACGGGUGAGGGUGUGGAGACACAGGGACUCUCCUUCAUCGCUGGUGCAAACGCAAGGUGGCACAGCCACUUUGGAAGACAGGGUGACGGUGUCUUACCAGACUAAACAUACUCUUACCAUAUGAUCCAUUGAUUAUGCUCCUUGGCAUUUACCCAAAGGAGUUGAAAACCUACGUCGACACAAACACCCACACGAGGUGUUCAUAGGGGUAAACAGCCUCGUUCGUAAUUGCCCAAACUUGGAAGCAACCAAGAUGUCCUUCAGCAGGGGAGUGGGUAGCCCUCAACAGUACAUCCAGACAACGGAAUAUCAUUCAGCACUAAGAAGAAAUGAGCUCUCAAGCCAGGAAAAGACACGGAGGAACCUGACGCACAUGUCAUGAAGUGAAGGAAGUCCGUCUGGAAAGGCCACAUACGAGAAAAUGAUUGACAGCAGCCACCUGCUGGGGCAAAGUCUGUCCCUGGCCUGGGAUGGAGACUGGACAGAGCAAGGACUCAGGAUAUAUUGGCUGCUUAUCUGCUGUACAUUGGGAUUCCGAAUAAUGCCUGCCUUGUUGCGAAGCUUAAACGAGUAGCAUCCACGAAAAGUGCUUAGGAAGGACCCCGGCACAGAGAAGGUGCUAUUUUUAACACUAACACCCUCUUUGCUCCCACCCUUCUCACGUGUGCAGGGCACCUAGGGCAUGGGGAAGGGGCUGCUUGACUUCAGGAUGCAAAGUGCAAAGCUGCCUCCCCGCAGCGGUGGAGGAAAGACGGAAAGACUGGGCUGCAGGAAUUCGUUAGCACCAAUUAACACCGUGAGGCUCCCUUCUGCUCUCACCCUGGUCUGCCUCCCUGCUGGCUUGGGGCCGAGAACCACAUGGCAGAGGAAGCAGCCAGGCCCAGGGGAUGAGGGGGAUGUUGUGGAACCAUCGGCUAAGACUGGGGGCCCCCCAGCAGGUAUUAUUCCUAGCUGGGCAGGAAGGUUCCAGAAAGCAGUGAGGCAGACACAGAGCAUCAGGCAGGCCUGGUCUUGGGGCCAUAGACAAAUGCCUCUUCCAGGCAGUGACCCUUUCUAGUGCAUCUGACAUACGGAGUGGGGGUCAUCCCUUCCCUGACACAGCGAACUUACUUGUAGCUAUGCUCUUGCAAUGAAAGAAAUAAUAAAAAUGGCUGGAAAAGAAACACA